GAUGAACGCUGGCGGCGUGCCUAAUACAUGCAAGUCGAGCGAACGGACGAGAAGCUUGCUUUUCUGAUGUUAGCGGCGGACGGGUGAGUAACACGUGGAUAACCUACCUAUAAGACUGGGAUAACUUCGGGAAACCGGAGCUAAUACCGGAUAAUAUUUUGAACCGCAUGGUUCAAAAGUGAAAGACGGUCUUGCUGUCACUUAUAGAUGGAUCCGCGCUGCAUUAGCUAGUUGGUAAGGUAACGGCUUACCAAGGCAACGAUGCAUAGCCGACCUGAGAGGGUGACCGCCCACACUGGAACUGAGACACGGUCCAGACUCCUACGGGAGGCAGCAGUAGGGAAUCUUCCGCAAUGGGCGAAAGCCUGACGGAGCAACGCCGCGUGAGUGAUGAAGGUCUUCGGAUCGUAAAACUCUGUUAUUAGGGAAGAACAUAUGUGUAAGUAACUGUGCACAUCUUGACGGUACCUAAUCAGAAAGCCACGGCUAACUACGUG
Molecule: ribosomal RNA, 497 nt
Filed under: uncultured bacterium
Lineage: Bacteria
Description: partial 16S ribosomal RNA
Rfam family: Bacterial small subunit ribosomal RNA
Source: RNAcentral